Molecule: small nuclear RNA, 23 nt
Filed under: Arabidopsis thaliana (thale cress)
Lineage: Eukaryota; Viridiplantae; Streptophyta; Magnoliopsida; Brassicales; Brassicaceae
Description: snRNA_10458
Source: RNAcentral
UUUAAAAACGGUCCGGUUACGGU